This is a small nuclear RNA of Dipodomys spectabilis (banner-tailed kangaroo rat), 104 nucleotides long. The record is from RefSeq and is a predicted model, not a curated record. NCBI's taxonomy places the organism in Eukaryota, Metazoa, Chordata, Mammalia, Rodentia, Heteromyidae.
AUGCUUGCUUCGGCAGCACAGGUACUAAAAUUGGAACGAUACAGAGAUUAGCAUGGCCCCUGCACAAGGAAGCAAAGUGUAAGGGGGUUAUUAUGCUCAGUGCU